This 255-nucleotide ribosomal RNA is filed under the name uncultured bacterium. RNAcentral describes it as "partial 16S ribosomal RNA". It matches the Rfam family "Bacterial small subunit ribosomal RNA", at positions 524 to 776 of the family's 1533-position model. The record is from RNAcentral.
UACGGAGGGUGCGAGCGUUGUCCGGAAUCAUUAGGCGUAAAGGGCGCGUAGGUGGCCCCUCAAGCGUGCGGUGAAAGUCAGGGGCUCAACCCCUGAUCGGCCGUGCGAACUGGGGAGCUUGAGCACUGUAGAGGCAGGCGGAAUUCCGGGUGUAGCGGUGGAAUGCGUAGAGAUCCGGAAGAACACCGGUGGCGAAGGCGGCCUGCUGGGCAGUUUUGCUGACACUGAGGCGCGACAGCGUGGGGAGCAAACAGG